GACGAACGCUGGCGGCGUGCUUAACACAUGCCAGUCGAACGGAAAGGCCUCUUUCGGGGGGUACUCGCGUGGCGAACGGGUGAGUAACACGUGAGUAACCUGCCCUUGUCUUUGGGAUAACUUCCGUCAACUGGGGCUAAUACAUGCUAGAAGCUCCUGCUGCAUGGUGGGGGCUGGAGAGAUUCGGGGUUUGGGGGUGGACUGGCGGCUUAUCCGCUUGUUAGUGGGGUAGUGGGUUACCAAGGCGUUGACGGGGAGCCGGACAGAGGGAGUGACGGGCCACACUGGGACUGAGAGACGGCCCAGGUUGCGACGGGAGGCAGAAGUGGGGAAGAUUGCCCAAUGGGUGGAAGGCUGAUGCAGCAAGGCUGUGUGCGGGAUGACGGCCUUCGGGUUGGAAAACGCUUUCGCUCAUGACGAAGCUUUGUGUGACGGUAGUGGGUAAAGAAGCACCGGCUAACUACGUG
Molecule: ribosomal RNA, 467 nt
Filed under: uncultured bacterium
Lineage: Bacteria
Description: partial 16S ribosomal RNA
Rfam family: Bacterial small subunit ribosomal RNA
Source: RNAcentral